UUUGAUCUUUAAUAAUUAUUAGUAAUAAUUUUAUAAAAAAUUAAUUUUUUUAGUAUUUUUGAAUAAAUAUUUUUUAUUAUAGUUUAUAAGUACCGUGAGGGGAUUUUGAAAUAAUUGAAAUAUUUUUGAUUUUAAAAGAAGAAUUAAUUUUUUGUACCUUGUGUAUCAGGGUUUAUUAAUUAUUUUAUAUUAAUAAUAUUUGUCCCGAAUUUGGAAGAGCUAAAAAUUUAUUAAUUUUAAUGUUGAAUAAUUAUUUUUAAUGAGUUUUUUGAAAUUAAACGUUAAUCGUUUCUUUAUAUAUCUGGUUUUUUAAGAAAAAAAUUUAAUUUUAUUAUUCUUUUUUAUUUUACUAUUUCUGUUAAGUAAAAUUUGAAUAAUUUAUAUUUUGAGGGAUAAGCUUCAAUUUAUAUUUUUAUAAACUUUAAAAAUUUUUAGUGGUUUGUAUGAUUAGAAAUUUUUAUCAUAAAAUUUGUUAUAAUUUUCCACAAUUUGUUAUUGAUUUUUUUUUGUUUUAAUUUUUUUAUUAAAAUGAUUUUUUUUAAUUUUUAAUUAAUUUAAUAAUGAUGAAAUUAGUAAAAUUUUAGUUUAUUGUUAAGUUUUAUCUUAAGUUGAAUUUAAGGAACUCGGCAAUUUUAGUUUCUGCCUGUUUAUUAAAAACAUGUCCUUUUGAUUAGUAUUUAAGGUCUGAUCUGCCCUAUGAUAAAUAAUUUAAAUGGCCGCGAUAUUUUGAUCGUGCGAAGGUAGCAUAAUCAUUAGCUCUUUGAUUGAGAGCUGGUAUGAAUGAUUGGACAAGAAACUUUCUGUCUCAAAUUUAUUUUUUGAAUUUUAUUUUUUAGUUAAAAAGCUUAAAUUGUUUUGUAAGACGAGAAGACCCUAUAGAGUUUAAUAUUUUUAUUUACAUUAAGAUUUUAGAAUUUAAAUUUUUUUGUUUUGUAAAGUAUUUGGUUGGGGUGAUAGAAAAACUUAUUGAACUUUUUUUCAUACAAAUAUAAAUUUAUAGGUUAUUGACUUAUAUAAAUAGUUAAAAGACUAAAUUACCUUAGGGAUAACAGCGUAAUUUUUCUAAAGAGUUCAUAUCGAAAGAAAAGAUUGCGACCUCGAUGUUGGAUUAAAGUUUAAAUUUGGUGCAGAAGCUGAAUAAUUUAGUCUGUUCGACUAUUAAAACUUUACAUGAUCUGAGUUUAAACCGGUGUGAGCCAGGUUGGUUUCUAUCUUCAAUUAGUUAAAAUAUUUUAGUACGAAAGGACCAAAUAUUUUUUAGAUUAAUUUUUUAUUUGAAUAAAAUU
RNAcentral lists this ribosomal RNA (1286 nucleotides) under Agrilus adelphinus. RNAcentral's name for it is "16S ribosomal RNA". The stretch from base 1045 to 1203 matches the Rfam family "Archaeal large subunit ribosomal RNA", at positions 2542 to 2701 of the family's 2987-position model. Lineage: Eukaryota; Metazoa; Arthropoda; Insecta; Coleoptera; Buprestidae. The record is from RNAcentral.